UGGGGAAUAUUGGACAAUGGGCGCAAGCCUGAUCCAGCCAUGCCGCGUGAGUGAAGAAGGCCUUCGGGUUGUAAAGCUCUUUCGGCGGGGACGAAACGGUCCGGGCUAACACCACGGACUAAUGACGGUACUCGCAGAAGAAGCACCGGCUAACUACGUGCCAGCAGCCGCGGUAAUACGUAGGGUGCAGGCGUUAAUCGGAAUUACUGGGCGUAAAGCGUGCGCAGGCGGCUCCUUAAGUCAGAUGUGAAAGCCCCGGGCUUAACCUGGGAACUGCGUUUGAAACUGGGGAGCUAGAGUGUGGAAGAGGGGGGUGGAAUUCCAGGUGUAGCAGUGAAAUGCGUAGAGAUCUGGAGGAACACCGAUGGCGAAGGCAGCCACCUGGCAUAAUACUGACGCUGAGGCGCGAAAGCGUGGGGAGCAAACAGGAUUAGAUACCCUGGUAGUCCACGCCGUAAACGAUGAGAACUAGAUGUUGGGAGGGGAACCUUUCAGUAUCGAAGCUAACGCGAUAAGUUCUCCGCCUGGGAAGUACAGUCGCAAGGCUG
RNAcentral lists this ribosomal RNA (548 nucleotides) under uncultured bacterium. RNAcentral describes it as "bacterial SSU rRNA". It matches the Rfam family "Bacterial small subunit ribosomal RNA", at positions 355 to 896 of the family's 1533-position model. The record is from RNAcentral.